UUACUCUGGUUUCUCUUCAGAUUGCAAUAAUCUUUCACCUUUUACUAAAAAUUUCCGUGGAGAGGAACAAUUCUGAGUUUUGAACUUUAAACUUUACUAAAAAGCAAUAGUUAUCA
Molecule: small nuclear RNA, 116 nt
Organism: Suncus etruscus (white-toothed pygmy shrew)
Lineage: Eukaryota; Metazoa; Chordata; Mammalia; Eulipotyphla; Soricidae
Product: U5 spliceosomal RNA
Exons: 1
Source: RefSeq, a predicted model, not a curated record